Molecule: long non-coding RNA, 737 nt
Filed under: Marmota monax (woodchuck)
Lineage: Eukaryota; Metazoa; Chordata; Mammalia; Rodentia; Sciuridae
Source: RNAcentral
UGUUUAUCGUAAGAAAUUAAGAAGUUAUUUAAAUAUCACAUAAAGUGAACUACUGUAGUCCUACAGCAAGAAUAAUUACUGUUAAGAAUUGGGCUUUCGCUCAGCCCUGCGGCAUCAACAGAAUGGGCAAGUUACGAGGUCUUCAUACUGCCAGGAAGCUCCAUAGUCAAUGAAGGGACCAGAAGUGACAUGAUAAACAAUACAAGAAAGCCCAUUUGGGCACAGGCCUGAAGACCAACCCUUUGGAGGUGCUUCCCAUGCAAAGGGAAUUGUGCUAGAAAAACGUAGAGGUUGAAGCCAAACAGCCAAAUUCUGCCAUCGAGAAGUUUGUUUUCAGGGUCCAGGUGAUCAAGAAUGGCAAGAAAAUCACAGCUUUUGUAUCCAGUGAUGAUUGCUUGAACUUUAUUGAGGAAAAUGAUGAAUUUCUGGUUGCUAGAUUUGGUCGAAAAGGUCAUGCUGUUGGUGACAUUCCUGGAGUCUGCUUUAAGGUUGUCAUGUCUCCCUUUUGGCCCUAUACACAAAGGCAAGAAGGGGAGGUCAAGAUCAUAAAUUUCGCUGAUGAAAACAAUAGUAAUAAAUUUUUAUAUUACAGAAAAAAAGAAAUGGGAGUAUAUUCCUCAAUUUUUUUUAAUGGAAAUGCUAACACUAUAUUACAUGUUAAAAAUAUCAAAAUAUUAGUAAACAGUAUUAAGGGGAUCAGGUAACUGAUAUUUUGUUGAAUAUAUAAUGAGUCAUCC